Molecule: ribosomal RNA, 253 nt
Filed under: uncultured bacterium
Lineage: Bacteria
Description: partial 16S ribosomal RNA
Rfam family: Bacterial small subunit ribosomal RNA
Source: RNAcentral
UACGGGGGGGGCAAGCGUUGUUCGGAAUUACUGGGGGUAAAGGGCUCGUAGGCGGCCAACUAAGUCGGAUGUGAAAUCCCCAGGCUCAACCUGGGAACUGCAUCCGAUACUGGAUGGCUUGAAUUCGGGAGAGGGAUGCAGAAUUCCAGGUGUAGCGGUGAAAUGCGUAGAUAUCUGGAGGAAUACCGGUGGCGAAGGCGGCAUCCUGGACCGACAUUGACGCUGAGGAGCGAAAGCCAGGGGAGCAAACGGG